This 253-nucleotide ribosomal RNA is filed under the name uncultured bacterium. Its description in RNAcentral is "partial 16S ribosomal RNA". It matches the Rfam family "Bacterial small subunit ribosomal RNA", at positions 524 to 776 of the family's 1533-position model. The record is from RNAcentral.
UACGUAGGGGGCAAGCGUUGUCCGGAAUCAUUGGGCGUAAAGAGCGCGUAGGCGGCCCUGUAAGUCCGCUGUGAAAGUCAAGGGCUCAACCCUUGAAUGCCGGUUGAUACUGUCGGGCUAGAGUCCGGAAGAGGCGAGUGGAAUUCCCGGUGUAGCGGUGAAAUGCGCAGAUAUCGGGAGGAACACCAAUGGCGAAGGCAGCUCGCUGGGACGGUACUGACGCUGAGACGCGAAAGCGUGAGGAGCAAACAGG